Molecule: ribosomal RNA, 329 nt
Filed under: uncultured eukaryote
Lineage: Eukaryota
Description: partial 18S ribosomal RNA
Rfam family: Eukaryotic small subunit ribosomal RNA
Source: RNAcentral
CCCUUAGAUGUUCUGGGCCGCACGCGCGCUACACUGAUGCAUUCAACGAGUCUAAAACCUGCUCUGAUAGGGGUGGGUAAUCUUUUGAAUGUGCAUCGUGAUUGGGAUAGGUGAUUGCAAUUUUUCAUCUUCAACGAGGAAUGCCUAGUAAACGCAAGUCAUCAGCUUGCAUUGAUUACGUCCCUGCCCUUUGUACACACCGCCCGUCGCUCCUACCGAUUGAAUGAUCCGAUGAAUAUCAUGGAUUGAGGAUGCAAGCAGGUUCGCCUGUCUUCAUCUUCGAGAAGUGAAGUAAAUCUUAUCAUUUAGAGGAAGGAGAAGUCGUAACA